Molecule: ribosomal RNA, 792 nt
Filed under: uncultured archaeon
Lineage: Archaea
Description: bacterial SSU rRNA
Rfam family: Archaeal small subunit ribosomal RNA
Source: RNAcentral
ACGGCUCAGUAACACGUGGAUAACCUGCCCAAGGGGUCCGGGAUAACCCCGGGAAACUGGGGAUAAUACCGGAUGGAUCACUUAUGCUGGAAUGCUUGGUGGUCGAAAGGUGACGCCCUUGGAUGGGUCUGCGGCGGAUUAGGUUGACGCCGGUGUAACGUACCGGCGUGCCUGUAAUCCGUACGGGUUGUGGGAGCAAGAGCCCGGAGAUGGAUUCUGAGACACGAAUCCAGGCCCUACGGGGCGCAGCAGGCGCGAAAACUCUACAAUGCAGGCAACUGCGAUAGGGGGACAUCGAGUGGCAUCCACCUUGGGUGCCUGUCCCACCGUCUAAAAAACGGUGGUUAGCAAGGGCCGGGCAAGACCGGUGCCAGCCGCCGCGGUAAUACCGGCGGCUCGAGUGGUGGCCGAUAUUAUUGAGUCUAAAGGGUCCGUAGCCGGCUUUGCAAGUCCCCUGGGAAAUCCAGCGGCUUAACCGUUGGGCUUUCAUGGGAUACUACAUUGCUUGGGACUGGGAGAGGUAGGAGGUACUCGGGGGGUAGGGGUGAAAUCCUGUAAUCCCCCGGGGACCACCGGUGGCGAAGGCGUCCUACCAGAACAGGUCCGACGGUGAGGGACGAAGGCUAGGGGCACGAACCGGAUUAGAUACCCGGGUAGUCCUAGCCGUAAACGAUGCCCGCUAGGUGUCACGGCGGUCGUGAAUCGCCGUGGUGCCGUAGGGAAGCCGCGAAGCGGGCCACUUGGGAAGUACGGCCGCAAGGCUGAAACUUAAAGGAAUUGGCGGGGGAGCAC